ACCUUUCAUAUUAAUGAAAUAAUACAAUAAAUCAUGUACUCGGUAUGUUAUUAGAGAUCCACCAUUGUUUCUUGCUUGAGCCCAGAAUUCUAGCUAGAAAUAAAUUAACUGUGAUAAACUUUUGCAGGAAACUGAUUUCGACACUACUUACACAUAACAGAAUAUAUCACCGUUAAAUUCUUCCUCUGUUGAGAAUACAUAAAACCUUAAAAACUAUAUUUUCAAAAGAACUUGCCACCGUUUUAUUUGGAUAGGGAAGCAUAGGAAGAAACCGAAAAGCUAAUGAACAGCUAGUAUUUUUUAUAAUUGGUUUUUACAAAUAAACCUAAGUCGAUUAUACAUUUUUCACUCUGAGCGUAACCUAAAAUAAAUAAAAUACUAAACAUGGAAAACAACAACAUUUCCUGGAAUGUUAACUUGGCCAAAUAAAUUGAUUAAUUGCGACUUACGUUGGCAACAAAAUCUUUUUGACACUGUUACCACUUAAAACAAAAUAAACCAGCAUUGGCUUUCCUCUGUUGAGAUCAAGAAAAACCCCAGAAGUUGCAUUUUUCGGCUUAGGGAUUUUAUUUUUCCGCUGAAUAUCAAGAGACAGGUUGCGUCCAUUAGGACUUGAAGUCCGUUCAAAUUUUUUGAUGUUUUAGUUGUGUGUGAGGGAGGGCUGUUCAUGAUAACAUUAUGGGCAUGUUUAAAACAAAAAACAGGCUAAGUGCAGCUCAACACUCAAAAGUACCAACAUUAGUGUCAGGAAACAAGUAAAACAAACUACUAAUAAAGUCAUUAACAAUUAGAAAUGUUAUGUUUCCGAAGAUAUUUAAGGAAACAAAAUAAACCAGCAUUGGCUUUCCUCUGUUGAGAUCAAGAAAAACCCCAGAAGUUGCAUUUUUCGGCUUAGGGAUUUUAUUUUUCCGCUGAAUAUCAAGAGACAGGUUGCGUCCAUUAGGACUUGAAGUCCGUUCAAAUUUUUUGAUGUUUUAGUUGUGUGUGAGGGAGGGUUGUUCAUGAUAACAUUAUGGGCAUGUUUAAAACAAAAAACAGGCUAAGUGCAGCUCAACACUCAAUAGUACCAACAUUAGUGUCAGGAAACAAGUAAAACAAACUACUAAUAAAGUCAUUAACAAUUAGAAAUGUUAUGUUUCCGAAGAUAUUUAAGGAAAUAAAAUGAAUAAAUUACCUCA
Molecule: long non-coding RNA, 1178 nt
Filed under: Medicago truncatula (barrel medic)
Lineage: Eukaryota; Viridiplantae; Streptophyta; Magnoliopsida; Fabales; Fabaceae
Description: long non-coding RNA (MTRU_LNC005535)
Source: RNAcentral